This 902-nucleotide ribosomal RNA is filed under the name uncultured Bacillota bacterium. Its description in RNAcentral is "bacterial SSU rRNA". It matches the Rfam family "Bacterial small subunit ribosomal RNA", at positions 58 to 936 of the family's 1533-position model. The record is from RNAcentral. Lineage: Bacteria; Bacillati; Bacillota.
CAAGUCGAACGCGAAAGUCCCCUUCGGGGGGCAAGUAGAGUGGCGCACGGGUGAGUAACACGUAGGUAAUCUACCUUUGGAUGGGGAAUAACAACCGGAAACGGUUGCUAAUACCGCAUAAUGCAGCGGCACCUAAUGGUGACAGUUGUUAAAGCGGGGGAUCGAAAGACCUCGCGUCUAAAGAGGAGCCUGCGGCGGAUUAGCUAGUUGGUAAGGUAACGGCUUACCAAGGCUACGAUCCGUAGCCGGCCUGAGAGGGCGGUCGGCCACACUGACACUGACAUACGGGUCAGACUCCUACGGGAGGCAGCAGUCGGGAAUUUUGGGCAAUGGGCGAAAGCCUGACCCAGCAACGCCGCGUGAAGGAUGAAAUCCCUCGGGAUGUAAACUUCGCAAGAAUGAGAAGAAUAAGUAGGGGACAAUACCCCCUAUGAUGACGGUAUCAUUUGUAAGCUCCGGCUAACUCCGUGCCAGCAGCCGCGGUAAUACGGGGGGAGCAAGCGUUGUUCGGAUUUACUGGGCGUAAAGGGCGCGUAGGCGGCCAGCACAAGUCAGUUGUGAAAUCUCCGAGCUUAACUCGGAAAGGUCAACUGAUACUGUGCGGCUAGAGUGCGGAAGGGGCAACUGGAAUUCUUGGUGUAGCGGUGAAAUGCGUAGAUAUCAAGAGGAACACCUGGCGGCGAAGGCGGGUUGCUGGGCCGACACUGACGCUGAUGCGCGAAAGCCAGGGGAGCGAACGGGAUUAGAUACCCCGGUAGUCCUGGCCUUAAACGAUGAAUGCUUGGUGUCUGGGGUUAUAAAGUCCCCGGGUGCCGUCGCUAACGCUUUAAGCAUUCCGCCUGGGGAGUACGGUCGCAAGACUGAAACUCAAGGGAAUUGACGGGGACCGCACAAGCGGUGGA